This is an RNA transcript of Sardina pilchardus (European sardine), 3876 nucleotides long. It is a transcript of the gene named E-selectin-like, with no coding region annotated. The transcript has 16 exons. Lineage: Eukaryota; Metazoa; Chordata; Actinopteri; Clupeiformes; Clupeidae. The record is from RefSeq and is a predicted model, not a curated record.
GUAUUACUUACUACAAGUGUUACUAGCCUUAAACCAGAGAUAAAACUUGAAGGAUUUUAUUUUGAUACGCCAUCAUAAUCUGGGCGUGUCUACCACAAACCGAGACGCCCUGCACGAACAGAGGUUAGCCAAGUGGUUUAUUGUUUGUAAUAGGAUAUCGGCAGAAGCGGGUUUUGCGAGAUUUCAUAUGAAAAAUAUUUCUAAAUAUUUGUUAAAAAUAGAGAGCCACCUUGUAUUCCAAGGUAACCGGUGAAUUAGUCUACGAGCUAGCCAAAUUAGCCAGCGAUUAGGCUAACGCUACAGCUGUUGAUAGCUAGCUUAUGUUAACCUUAGUUUUUACGUUACAUUUAACAUCAUCAGAUAAACACAGUUGAUCGGUCAUGUGAUAACAUUCAUUGAGGCUAAUCUUGACUUGAAAUAACAUUAUACCUUUUGGUAUUGCUAGUUAUCACGUUAAAGUGUUAGUUAGCUGUCAGUGGGCGUUAGUUAGAAAGUCAAUCAGCCGUGGACUGUCAACUUGUCCGCUAGCUACUGACUUGCAUAUCGACUUCAUUAUGAAGAUAGCUGCGUUCGCUGACGCUGAAUAGGUUUGGAAAACGAAGAGCGCCAUGACGUUUUUCAAGAAUAUCCUCGGAACUUUGUCGAUUUUGUUACUUCUUCCCUCUGAAAUCAAAGGACAAUGCACCAAGCCCACCACCACCAGUGACCAUGCUGGUGUACACUCAGCUGAUAUAUUAAAAGACACUUUUGAAGAGGGUUCUUCUAUCCGACUUCAGUGCCACCCCGGGUAUGAGCGUAGUUCUGGAUUAUCGAGGCUCACCUGUGCCGGUGGACAGUGGACCCCAAGCCCAGAGAGUUUCAUCUGCAAAAAAAAAUCCUGUGGCAACCCUGGUGAGGUGAACAAUGGGGAUUAUCAGUUUCCAAAUGGAGUUGAAUUUGGGGCAGAAAUCACAGCUGUCUGCAAGACUGGGUACUAUAUUGUUGGAGAAAAUAAACGGACUUGCAUGGCAAAUGGACAAUGGGAUGGCAGAGAGGCCAUUUGUGAUCCGGUGAGGUGUGGACCUCCACCAGAUGUCACUAAUGGCCUCUUAACACUUCCUCCAAAUGAAGAAUAUGAAUAUGGCCAUGCGGUGCAGUAUAAGUGUAGCGAUGGCUACACACUGUUUGGAGACGAGGAUCCGGCGGACACUGUGCACUGCCUUGCAGAUGCCACCUGGUCGAAAAAGCCUCGUUGCACAAAGGUGGAAUGCCCGAGGCAAUCCAUCCCGAAUGCCAAACGCAUUGAGGGUCCAAGUGGGCCUUAUGGUUUCGGGGCACGCCUUGUAUAUGAGUGCAAUGUGGGAUACAGGUUCUUGCCCCCUGAUAACAACCGGAUGGUCUGUUCGGAGUAUGGAUGGUCUCAUAACCUGACAUGUGAAGUGGUGAAGUGUUCUCAGCCAGGUGCCACCAAUGCCACCAUCACUGAGGGGGCAGCUGACUCCUAUCAGUACGGUGCCAUCGUCAAGUACAAGUGCCCUGCUGGCCACACACUGUUGGGCAGCCCUGAGUUGAGAUGUAAAUCUGAUGGACAGUGGUCCUCCAACCCCCCCGUGUGCCUCAAAGAUUGUCCUCAGCCAGGUGCCACUAAUGCCACCACUGCCGGGGCGGGUGGCCCCUAUCGAGUCGGUGCCAUCGUCAGAUACUCGUGUCCGGUUGGGCACAAUCUGGUCGGCAGUUCUGAGUUGGAAUGUGGAUCUGAUGGACAGUGGUCGUCCAACCCUCCCGUGUGUGAAGUGGUGAAGUGUUCUCAGCCAGGUGCCACCAAUGCCAUCAUCACUGAGGGGGCAGCUGGCUCCUAUGACUACGGUGCCAUCGUCAAGUACAAGUGCCCCGCUGGCCAUACACAGUCGGGCAGCCCUGAGUUGAGAUGUAAAUCUGAUGGACUGUGGUCCUCCAACCCCCCCGUGUGCCUCAAAGUGGUGGAAUGUCCUGAGCCACCUGCCACCAAUGCCACCAUCACUGGUGAGCCAAAUGGCCCCUAUUAUUCUGGUGCUAUCAUCAGGUACGAGUGCCCUGAUAAGCAGACAAUGUCUGGCCCAUCUCAGUUGGAAUGUAGACCUAAUGGACAAUGGUCACCCGGCCCUCCUGUGUGUCACGAAGGAGGCCUAACUGUAUUAAAAAUACUCGGUGCAGUUUUUGGGGUUUUAUUUGGUGUCGGGGCCAUCGUAGGGGGCUUCUGGUUGUAUAAGAAUAAUAAGAAGAAGAACGAGAGCUACACUAGACCCUCCUCUUCAGAAGGCGAAGAGCUAAAGUCACGUUCAGCGAAUAAUCCAGAAAAUGGUGUCUAGUCAGACAGUGGGACUACUCGGAUUCCAACCCGCGGCAGGCAUCACGUGACCGCGGUGUUGUGAUAAUGCCGUUACCGUCCCAGCCCUAGUCCUAAGAAAAAAAAGGCCAAAACUUGAUCCUUGAUCCCGGCUUGCAGCAUCUUACUGUGUGUGUACGUGUACGUGUGUGUGUGUGUGUGUGUGUGUGUGUGUGCGUGUGUGUGCGUGCGCGUGUGCAUAUGUGCGCGUGUGGUUGCUGCAUCCCUCCUGUUCCAUGAUAAAGGCAGGAGGAACUGCCUUAAUUCAGAGGGUAGUAAUAUCAACUUUAUGUAAUGAUAGCUUGAAGACCCAUUACUUUAAGCAUUUUGGAAACCUUCUCCACACAGUCAUUCCUGCCCUUUGAGGACCUGAGAGGUAUACUAUGAAGCAAGGUUACUUACUGGCUUAUCCAGGUAACUUCAGGAGUAAGCACUGUUUUCCACACAACAUAUCACUUUAGAAACAAUAGCUGCUCACCACAGCAUGUUCUUUUAGAGAUCAGCAGUUACUUAAGGAAGGAGGCUGUAGUUUACACUGAUCUUAGAACAGCUAAGGGGCGUUGUUAGGCAUGACGCAAAGUUGUUCUAAAAUCAGUGUGAACUACAGCCUCUUGGGGCGUAUCGCUUUUCUAAAACGGUUACUACGUCAAUCUAGCAAGAUUUCAUGAAAGAAAGGCACAGCAAUGAAAAAAAUUACGAUUUAUUUAUAGAUAAUCAUUCUUCCGCCAAUAAAUAUAUUUCCUCCAUAAUAUGAAUGGUUGCCAUGCAACAUCGAGACGCAGCUACUCUAACUGCGAGUUGUGGUAGCACAAUGCAGACUGCAUAGUGCUGGAUUUAUACACCUGUGGAAAGAGACCUGAUAAAACCCAUCAAUAGAACGAAAUGCAGUCAAGGUGUAUGUUUGUGUUGGAUUCUACAACGGCAUCAAACGCGAUUCAGCCAAUCACAAUCAAGGAGCGUAACUAUCCGUUUUAGAAUACCAAAGUUACCCAGAUUAGCCAGUUGCCUUGCUUCAUAGUACAGCCCUCAGAACUUCUGCUCGUUGUUACAUUCGUUGACACUGAGGUUAAUGAAAGGCUCCCUCUAAGUCUUAUCAGAUUCUGCCCAGCUAAAGUCCCUGCUAGUGCAGCACUCUCCUCUUUCCUUCUGCGAGGGACUGUUGAGCCAUGCACUGCACUGUUUAUCAUGAAAUGAUGUGCCUUUUAAGUGUUCACACUGAACCUCAAGUGGAAAUUAGUGAAUGUAUAUCGCACCUUAACAUGAUUUAUUUAUUUGUUUGUUAGAAUUUUGAGUUUGGGUUUUUUUGUUCAAUAGCCAAAUAAUGUACAGUCUGUGACAGUCUAUAUGAUUUCAAAGACAUUGUUCUUCUUCAAUCUCAAAGUGCAUUUGGAGUUAUCUGGAAUUAAAUGAAGUAAUUACUUGCCUAAAAAGCGAGUUGUCCAUUUUUUUUUCCAGUUCUUAGGUCACAUUGCUGUCUCUGCUUGUUGCACUGAAUGGAAUGCGUAAUUAAUAAAGUUGAAUCUUUAAUAUAA